AUUGAACGCUGGCGGCAGGCCUAACACAUGCAAGUCGAGCGGAUGAAGGGAGCUUGCUCCCGGAUUCAGCGGCGGACGGGUGAGUAAUGCCUAGGAAUCUGCCUGGUAGUGGGGGAUAACGUCCGGAAACGGGCGCUAAUACCGCAUACGUCCUGAGGGAGAAAGUGGGGGAUCUUCGGACCUCACGCUAUCAGAUGAGCCUAGGUCGGAUUAGCUAGUUGGUGGGGUAAAGGCCUACCAAGGCGACGAUCCGUAACUGGUCUGAGAGGAUGAUCAGUCACACUGGAACUGAGACACGGUCCAGACUCCUAAGGGAGGCAGCAGUGGGGAAUAUUGGACAAUGGGCGAAAGCCUGAUCCAGCCAGGCCGCGUGUGUGAAGAAGGUCUUCGGAUUGUAAAGCACGUUAAGUUGGGAGGAAGGGCAGUAAGUUAAUACCUUGCUGUUUUGACGUUACCAACAGAAUAAGCACCGGCUAACUACGUG
RNAcentral lists this ribosomal RNA (484 nucleotides) under uncultured bacterium. RNAcentral's name for it is "partial 16S ribosomal RNA". It matches the Rfam family "Bacterial small subunit ribosomal RNA", at positions 30 to 507 of the family's 1533-position model. The record is from RNAcentral.